This 447-nucleotide long non-coding RNA is filed under the name Callithrix jacchus (white-tufted-ear marmoset). RNAcentral describes it as "lncRNA (ENSCJAG00000072234.1)". Lineage: Eukaryota; Metazoa; Chordata; Mammalia; Primates; Cebidae. The record is from RNAcentral.
CAACAUGACAAUGUACAAAUAUAAUCCAUACAAUAGUAAUUCCCCAAAUAAUAAAUAAUCAUAAGUAAAUAUAAAGUUACAAAUUAUGGUUUUUCUCUUUGUUUUUUGAGACAGGGUCUCAUUCUGUCGCCCAAGCUGGAGUGGAAUGGCACAAUCCAGGCUCACUGCAAUGGUGACCUCCUGGGCUCUCACAGCCUUGAUGCUCCUCCGGCAUCCCCAGUCUCUGGAUCAGAUUUUGCUCUAAAAGCACCGGGGAGAAGAAAGGCUUGUGAAUGCAAAGAAGGGUGCACAAACCAGCUGAGGCGAAUCCUGACUCCAAUCCUUGAAAUGACGUCUGUCAUCGUGCACUUCUCAUGCCACCCAAGAAGUGUCCCCUGAUGUUUCAGGCAGCUGUCACAUCUGCCUCCUCUGAGCUCCUAGUCAUUUGAUAUUUAAAAUGUACUGCCU